UCAAUAGAAAUUACUAUAUGUCGUAUAAUAUUGGGGAUAUGGCCCAAAAGUUUCUACCGAGCUGCCGUAAAUAGCUUGACUACGAGAUAUUUGGUUAGAAUC
Molecule: non-coding RNA, 102 nt
Filed under: Priestia koreensis
Lineage: Bacteria; Bacillati; Bacillota; Bacilli; Caryophanales; Bacillaceae
Description: Bacillus koreensis Guanine sequence
Rfam family: Purine riboswitch aptamer
About the family: Riboswitches are metabolite binding domains within certain messenger RNAs that serve as precision sensors for their corresponding targets. Allosteric rearrangement of mRNA structure is mediated by ligand binding, and this results in modulation of gene expression.
Source: Rfam by way of RNAcentral